AGCUUGCUCCCGGAUGUUAGCGGCGGACGGGUGAGUAACACGUGGGUAACCUGCCUGUAAGACUGGGAUAACUCCGGGAAACCGGAGCUAAUACCGGAUAGUUCCUUGAACCGCAUGGUUCAAGGAUGAAAGACGGUUUCGGCUGUCACUUACAGAUGGACCCGCGGCGCAUUAGCUAGUUGGUGGGGUAAUGGCUCACCAAGGCGACGAUGCGUAGCCGACCUGAGAGGGUGAUCGGCCACACUGGGACUGAGACACGGCCCAGACUCCUACGGGAGGCAGCAGUAGGGAAUCUUCCGCAAUGGACGAAAGUCUGACGGAGCAACGCCGCGUGAGUGAUGAAGGUUUUCGGAUCGUAAAGCUCUGUUGUUAGGGAAGAACAAGUGCGAGAGUAACUGCUCGCACCUUGACGGUACCUAACCAGAAAGCCACGGCUAACUACGUGCCAGCAGCCGCGGUAAUACGUAGGUGGCAAGCGUUGUCCGGAAUUAUUGGGCGUAAAGGGCUCGCAGGCGGUUUCUUAAGUCUGAUGUGAAAGCCCCCGGCUCAACCGGGGAGGGUCAUUGGAAACUGGGAAACUUGAGUGCAGAAGAGGAGAGUGGAAUUCCACGUGUAGCGGUGAAAUGCGUAGAGAUGUGGAG
RNAcentral lists this ribosomal RNA (641 nucleotides) under Bacillus safensis. Its description in RNAcentral is "bacterial SSU rRNA". It matches the Rfam family "Bacterial small subunit ribosomal RNA", at positions 77 to 703 of the family's 1533-position model. Lineage: Bacteria; Bacillati; Bacillota; Bacilli; Caryophanales; Bacillaceae. The record is from RNAcentral.